AUUGAACGCUAGCGGGAUGCUUUACACAUGCAAGUCGAACGGCAGCGCGGACUUCGGUCUGGCGGCGAGUGGCGAACGGGUGAGUAAUGUAUCGGAACGUGCCCAGUAGCGGGGGAUAACUACGCGAAAGCGUAGCUAAUACCGCAUACGCCCUACGGGGGAAAGCAGGGGAUCGUAAGACUUUGCACUAUUGGAGCGGCCGAUAUCGGAUUAGCUAGUUGGUGAGGUAACGGCUCACCAAGGCGACGAUCCGUAGCUGGUUUGAGAGGACGACCAGCCACACUGGGACUGAGACACGGCCCAGACUCCUACGGGAGGCAGCAGUGGGGAAUUUUGGACAAUGGGGGCAACCCUGAUCCAGCCAUCCCGCGUGUGCGAUGAAGGCCUUCGGGUUGUAAAGCACUUUUGGCAGGAAAGAAACGUCGCGGGCUAAUACCCCGUGGAACUGACGGUACCUGCAGAAUAAGCACCGGCUAACUACGUG
This 484-nucleotide ribosomal RNA is filed under the name uncultured bacterium. Its description in RNAcentral is "partial 16S ribosomal RNA". It matches the Rfam family "Bacterial small subunit ribosomal RNA", at positions 30 to 507 of the family's 1533-position model. The record is from RNAcentral.